RNAcentral lists this long non-coding RNA (541 nucleotides) under Cricetulus griseus (Chinese hamster). RNAcentral's name for it is "lncRNA (ENSCGRG00015030547.1)". The record is from RNAcentral. Lineage: Eukaryota; Metazoa; Chordata; Mammalia; Rodentia; Cricetidae.
GGAAGGGCCCUCUUUUUCCCCUCCGCUCCUGCUCCAGUGACAAGAUGUGAUCCACUGACAAGGAGGUAUGCCAAUAACGUGUCCGAAGCAUGGACAAAGACGCCCACAAUAUUAGGAACAAAAUAUUCCAAAAAUACAAUUACAAAUAGUCAUACUUCAGAUGGUGAAGUGACUUGUUUCAAGGAAAACAAGAAUACUACAACAAACAUCAGAUGACUCCAGCUUCCUGGAAACUGACAUCAUAAAAUGCUGUGUUUAGACUCCAUUUGCAAUAAUGUAGGACAAUGGCUGUGAUCCUGGCAAAUCAGAGUUUGCUCAGAAACAAACCCAAAGCUAAGAAGACAUGUCUACCCUUUCACUUUGGGAUCAUUUCUUAGCUUCAAGUUCCAAGAACAUCCUUUGUAUGUCUUUGUCUCUUAUCGAAGGAUGAUUGGAAACCAGUUGUGGGAAAUAUUUUCGGUUUAAUAUCACUAAGAAUUGUUUAGGUGUCAAAUUUUUAUUAAUUCAAAGAUCUGAAAUAUAAGAACUGACUCAAAUCUGA